AUUAGAUACCCUGGGUAGUCCACGCCGUAAACGGUGGAUGCUGGAUGUGGGGCCCUUUUUCCGGGUCCUGUGUCGGAGCUAACGCGUUAAGCAUCCCGCCUGGGGAGUACGGCCGCAAGGCUAAAACUCAAAGAAAUUGACGGGGGCCCGCACAAGCGGCGGAGCAUGCGGAUUAAUUCGAUGCAACGCGAAGAACCUUACCUGGGCUUGACAUGUGCCGGACGCCCGCGGAGACGCGGGUUCCCUUCGGGGCCGGUUCACAGGUGGUGCAUGGUCGUCGUCAGCUCGUGUCGUGAGAUGUUGGGUUAAGUCCCGCAACGAGCGCAACCCUCGCCGCGUGUUGCCAGCGGGUCGUGCCGGGAACUCACGUGGGACCGCCGGGGUUAACUCGGAGGAAGGUGGGGAUGACGUCAGAUCAUCAUGCCCCUUACGUCCAGGGCUUCACGCAUGCUACAAUGGCCGGUACAACGGGGUGCGACACGGUGACGUGGGGCGGAUCCCUGAAAACCGGUCUCAGUUCGGAUCGCAGUCUGCAACUCGACUGCGUGAAGGUGGAGUCGCUAGUAAUCGCGGAUCAGCAUGCCGCGGUGAAUACGUUCCCGGGUCUUGUACACACCGCCCGUCAAACAAUGGGAGUGGUGUUUACCAGAAGUCGUUAGCCUAACCGCAAGGAGGGCGGCGACCACGGUGAGCACCGUGACUAAUGUUAAGUCGUAACAAGGUAAC
This 726-nucleotide ribosomal RNA is filed under the name uncultured bacterium. RNAcentral describes it as "bacterial SSU rRNA". It matches the Rfam family "Bacterial small subunit ribosomal RNA", at positions 777 to 1500 of the family's 1533-position model. The record is from RNAcentral.